UCUUGUGUUUGCUUGUCACCGCUCUGCUUGUUGUUUAGAACUGUCUGUGGUAAAAUGCGGGUAUUUUCUCAAGGCAGGCUAUGCCGUCAUCUUCAUCCAUCGCCGUGGGAGCAAGCACCCUUACUGUAGAUUUCUUCCAGAGGAUUCGAUUCUCGAUCUUCUUGAGCUUGGCGAAGACUCAGAGAUCCAAGUUCCCCAAUCUCACUCUGCUGUGGUCAAGGCAGCUAUUAGCAACUAUCGCAAGGCAAUUGAUGAAGGCCUGCUUCUGAAACUUCCUUUCACUACAAUUUUCGAGUACCUUCAGGUACUCGAACCUAUUUCCUACCACUACCAGGGCAUGUUUCCAAUUCUUGUUGUUUUGCGUAUAGCAUCGGACUCACGUAUCAACUGUUGCUGUCCAUAUUACAUUUUGUACCUGCAUGAUUUGUUGGUCUAAUUAGGCUCAUUAGAUUCGUCUCGUGAUUUACAAGCAAACUAUGCAAUUAGUUUUAAUUUCGUCUAAAUUUAAUACUCCAUGCAUGUAAAAUUCCAUUCGAUGUGAUGUUUUUCGAGUGUAAAGUUUUUGUAACUAA
Molecule: long non-coding RNA, 572 nt
Organism: Panicum virgatum (switchgrass)
Lineage: Eukaryota; Viridiplantae; Streptophyta; Magnoliopsida; Poales; Poaceae
Exons: 4
Source: RefSeq, a predicted model, not a curated record